UCGAAUCACAUCUUUUCGUUCUUCAUUUCUCCCUCCCUUUCUGUUCAUCCGAAUAACGAUUUAUGAAGCUUUUCGUUCGUCGUCUUCCAUCGCUUCGGUGUAUCUGCACAAAUCGUGGACCUCUCCAUUUUGAAUCUCGGAAAAGCGAACAGAAGUGGUGUGGAGUGAGUAUAACAUUUCUGGAAGUUCCAUUGGCGGCUGAAAUUUCUCGAUAACAUUGUGCUUUUGUAGACUCUUGACAGUGGAAGGAAGAAGGCGAUCGAGUAAUUGGCUAUUACGCGCGUCGAUGUAUAGAAGAUGAUCGAGAUUCUGUAUGAAGCAAACCAACAGUUUCCAGGCUAUAUCUAAGCUGGAGUUUUCUGCGGGAAUAUGUUGUGCUUAACGAAUCGGCUGUAUGCUCAUUCGUCACUGAUCGCAGUUUAGGUUCUUGAUUCCUUAGAUAACCAGAUUGAGCUCAAUUUUCUUUUACUUUUAAGAGUUUCUAUUUUACAGUUUAUGCUGCUGGAUCAUCUAAAAAGCUCAUUCUCGAUUGAAGUGUUUUAGAAACAUCAUUUUCUUCCAAGGUUUACGUCAGAUUAUUUCCGUUUUGUUUCCGCCAAUACUGCCUAAGCUUAAUCAGGGAGGAAACAUCUGCUAAAACACGGUCGGUUUUGGAAUACAUUAUUGGAGACUUUAUGAACUACUAGGAUUCGGUUCGUCAUGUAAUCUUACAAGUGACUCAGUAAAAGUUUUCUGAUCUUUAUUCAGCCUAUCCGCUAAUUUCUCUGUUGUACUUGGCUGAUUUUCUGGUUAUCACUAACACUACUUUUGAUAUGCUGUAUCGAAUAGUGAUUUCGUACAUUUUGUACCGUGGAAGAAAAUAGAGGAUUGAGUAACCAGCAACUCAGGGCGUUGAUAUAUGGCAGAUGAUCAAGAUUCUGCUCGAAGCAAGUGAGUAGAACUCACUUGCUCUGCGAAGAAGGAACUCUCAGUUUGGUCCGAGUCGUAUGUAUCUAAACCUCGGAAAAGUAAUCUCCCAAAGAGACUGCUGCAUCUAAUCAAUCUCUGACUAGUUGAACUUUUGGUUUUGCAUUAUAUCUACGCUGGAUUUCGAACGGGAUUGAGGUUUCUGCGAGAUUAUCUCGUGCUUCUCAAGCUGACAGUAAGCUCAUUCUUCACUGCUUGCAGGGAGGAGCAUCUACUCAAAAUUGGUCAGUUUUGGUCCUCGUAUAGCACUUCGUUGGAGGAGACUUUAUGAGCUAAGAGAUUCUGGCAUAAGGCGUCAGUUCAAAAAUUGAGCCACAUGUCUACCAAUCAAUAUGUUUUCUGAAUUGUGGCGUUUAGGUAAGCCUUCCUUGUCUGGUUUCUCUUGUCAUAAUCAGUCUUUUAUUCAUAAUAUACUAUUAUUCAUUUUAUUUGACACAAACACACACACAGACACACACACAUUUUAUGAGAAGGCAUUUAGGUAUUUGGGUUGAGUUUAGGUUAGGUGGGUGAAAAACAAGGGGGUAGUUAAAAUGGCCACGCCAUUUUUGCCUUUCACUUAUUGUCAAAAACUGCAAGGGGUAUUAAAUAGAAUAGGUUUUCUCACGUGAGAGAAGGGGACAGAGGAGAGUUAAUUAAUUAACAUUGCGCGCCACUAAAUUCAAUUAAGGGUCUGUUGUUUAUGAUAGAUUCGAAUUAAAAGAA
Long non-coding RNA from Cucurbita pepo subsp. pepo (vegetable marrow), 1671 nucleotides. RefSeq lists it as uncharacterized. The record is from RefSeq and is a predicted model, not a curated record. NCBI's taxonomy places the organism in Eukaryota, Viridiplantae, Streptophyta, Magnoliopsida, Cucurbitales, Cucurbitaceae.